AGCAUAUUUAUUUUUAAGAUAUUCUUAACUGUUGAUAAAUAAGGUAGCCUUAUAUAUCAACAGUUAAGAAUAUCUUAAAAAUAAAUAUGCUUAUUUCUUA
RNAcentral lists this microRNA precursor (100 nucleotides) under Marmota monax (woodchuck). Lineage: Eukaryota; Metazoa; Chordata; Mammalia; Rodentia; Sciuridae. The record is from RNAcentral.